CAAUAGCGUAUAUUUAAGUUGCUGCAGUUAAAAAGCUCGUAGUUGGAUUUCGGGUGGGAAUGGCCGGUCCGCCGUUUCGGUGUGCACUUGCUACGCCCACCUUGCUGCCGGGGACGUGCUCUUGAGCUCACGCUCGGGACACGGAGUCGGCGAGGUUACUUUGAGUAAAUUAGAGUGUUCAAAGCAGGCCUACGCUCUGAAUACAUUAGCAUGGAAUAACACGAUAGGACUCUGGCCUAUCUUGUUGGUCUGUAGGACCGGAGUAAUGAUUAAGAGAGACAGUCGGGGGCAUUCGUAUUUCAUUGUCAGAGGUGAAAUUCUUGGAUUUAUGAAAGACGAACUACUGCGAAAGCAUUUGCCAAGGAUGUUUUCAUUAA
RNAcentral lists this ribosomal RNA (377 nucleotides) under uncultured eukaryote. RNAcentral describes it as "partial 18S ribosomal RNA". It matches the Rfam family "Eukaryotic small subunit ribosomal RNA", at positions 592 to 976 of the family's 1831-position model. The record is from RNAcentral.